Molecule: long non-coding RNA, 1007 nt
Filed under: Homo sapiens (human)
Lineage: Eukaryota; Metazoa; Chordata; Mammalia; Primates; Hominidae
Description: long non-coding RNA NONHSAT180479.1
Source: RNAcentral
UCACGGCCCACCGCAAGAAGCACGAGGAGGCCAUCCACGCUGUUGCCUGCCACCCCAGCAAGGCCCUCAUUGCCAGUGCUGGCGCUGAUGCCCUGGCCAAGGUCUUCGUAUGAUGCCCACCUGGCCCUGCCCUGGCCGCCACGCUGGCUGGGGUGUAGGGCCGGGCAGGUGGGGCUGAGGGGACUCCCAGCCUCGCUGGAGGUGCAGAGGCCUGGCCUCUGUCUGUUUGCCAUGGAGCCUGGUGGUGCUAACGGCCCUUUCCCCAGGAAUCCCUCCCCAACGGCUGCCUUCCCCAAGCAUCCAGCCUGGGGAUGGGCCCCUUUCAGGAAUCACCCCCGAGGAUGGCCUCGGGGUUUCCCCCUGUGCCCUGACAGCCGCUCCUGGUAUCAGAGCUGCUUUCCAGAGGGCAGCACAGCCAGGGCCGGGUGUCUUUAGGGAUCAGUUUUUCCAAGACUCCAGAAGGUGCCAGGUUCUCCCCUUGAGCUCCUGCUCCCCCAUCCCCCAUCCUCCCAGACCUGGGCAGGAGCUGUGCUGGGAGAAAGGGUGGCAGCCGGGAGCCUCAGAGCUGAGCCCCGGCCUGGCUGCCCCUCCCCUCCGGCCCUCUCCACUGCUUUCCAGACACUAACCAAGGCUUCCAGGCCAGGGAUUGCCCAACACUCCUAGGGCAGCCCUCCCAGCGCCCCAUGGGGUCGCCCAUGGGUAGAGACGGCUUUCUUGUGCCCCUCCCUGGGGCAUGGAGGGUGGAGUGGGCCUCGGGUCCCCCUGAACUCCCUGUAUAUCUGUAUAAAUAACGGGAUUUUCAUGGCGCCGCCCCACCCGCAUUAUCACUGUGUGAUGGUCUCAGUCAGUCUCCUCCCUGUCUCCACUCUUUCCCUCUAUUUAUUUCACUCUCUUGUUUGGUUCUACCCUGCACCCUCGGUCCCCUUCCAGGUUCCUGUUUAUAAGCCCCAACCCCUCUGUCCCCAUCUUGUAUGUGAAAACUUGUCUCAAUAAACCCUUUGGAGUAA